RNAcentral lists this ribosomal RNA (519 nucleotides) under uncultured Glomus. RNAcentral's name for it is "SSU rRNA". It matches the Rfam family "Eukaryotic small subunit ribosomal RNA", at positions 569 to 1092 of the family's 1831-position model. The record is from RNAcentral. Lineage: Eukaryota; Fungi; Glomeromycota; Glomeromycetes; Glomerales; Glomeraceae.
AGCAGCCGCGGUAAUUCCAGCUCCAAUAGCGUAUAUUAAAGUCGCUGCGGUUAAAAAGCUCGUAGUUGAAUUUCGGGACUGAUAUGUCGGUCGUGCCUCGGUACGUACUGAUAUUUUUGGUCUCUCCCUUCUGACGAACCUUGAUGUUAUUAAUUUGGUGUCUUGGGAAAUCAGGACUGUUACUUUGAAAAAUUAGAGUGUUUAAAGCAGGCUCACGCUUGAAUACAUUAGCAUGGAAUAAUGAAAUAGGACGUUUGAUUCUAUUUUGUUGGUUUCUAGGAUCGACGUAAUGAUUAAUAGGGAUAGUUGGGGGCAUUAGUAUUCAAUUGUCAGAGGUGAAAUUCUUGGAUUUAUUGAAGACUAACUACUGCGAAAGCAUUUGCCAAGGAUGUUUUCAUUAAUCAAGAACGAAAGUUAGGGGAUCGAAGACGAUCAGAUACCGUCGUAGUCUUAACCAUAAACUAUGCCGACUAGGGAUCGGAUGAUGUUAAUUUUUAAUGACUCAUUCGGCGCCUUACG